GUUUGGAGAUGCGAAAGUUACCCUCAAGGACCCCACGGGUGCUGUUGAUGCUAGCAUCCACCGCAAGGCAUUUACUCACAGUGAAUUUGCGAAUGACAUAACUGUUGGAUCUGUUCUCGUUCUCCAAAAGGUUGCUGUGUUUGCACCUAGAGGAACUGUUUGUUAUCUUAAUAUAACAUUGCCCAACCUAGUGAAGGUAUUCCCAAAAGAUUGCGGACCCCAUGACUUCAUCGAUAUCACAGAGGAAUAAUUUUGUUUUCGGUGUU
This is a long non-coding RNA of Lotus japonicus, 266 nucleotides long. RefSeq lists it as uncharacterized. The record is from RefSeq and is a predicted model, not a curated record. The transcript is spliced from 3 exons. NCBI's taxonomy places the organism in Eukaryota, Viridiplantae, Streptophyta, Magnoliopsida, Fabales, Fabaceae.